Molecule: ribosomal RNA, 500 nt
Filed under: uncultured bacterium
Lineage: Bacteria
Description: partial 16S ribosomal RNA
Rfam family: Bacterial small subunit ribosomal RNA
Source: RNAcentral
AUUGAACGCUGGCGGAAUGCUUUACACAUGCAAGUCGAACGGCAGCACGGACUUCGGUCUGGUGGCGAGUGGCGAACGGGUGAGUAAUGUAUUGGAACGUGCCCAGUCGUGGGGGAUAACGUAGUGAAAAUUACGCUAAUACCGCAUACGAUCUAUGGAUGAAAGCGGGGGAUCGCAAGACCUCGCGCGAUUGGAGCGGCCGAUAUCAGAUUAGGUAGUUGGUGGGGUGAAGGCCCACCAAGCCAACGAUCUGUAGCUGGUCUGAGAGGACGACCAGCCAAACUGUAACUGAGACACGGCCCAGACUCCUACGGGAGGCACCAGUGGGGAAUUUUGGACAAUGGGCGAAAGCCUGAUCCAGCCAUUCCGCGUGCAGGAUGAAGGCCCUCGGGUUGUAAACUGCUUUUGUACAGAACGAAAAGGUUUCUACUAAUACUAGGAGCUCAUGACGGUACUGUAAGAAUAAGCACCGGCUAACUACGUGCCAGCAGCCGCCGUAA